This 274-nucleotide ribosomal RNA is filed under the name uncultured bacterium. RNAcentral describes it as "partial 16S ribosomal RNA". It matches the Rfam family "Bacterial small subunit ribosomal RNA", at positions 933 to 1215 of the family's 1533-position model. The record is from RNAcentral.
UGGAGCGUGUGGUUUAAUUCGAUGCAACACGAAAAACCUUACCAAGGCUUGACAUGCUAGUAGUAGGAACCCGAAAGGGCAACGACCGGCCUUCGGGCUGGAGCUAGCACAGGUGCUACGUGGCUGUCGUCAGCUCGUGCCGUGAGGUGUUGGGUUAAGUCCCAUAACGAGCGCAACCCCUGUUCUGUGUUGAUUUCUCACAGGAGACUGCCCAGGAAUUCUGGGAGGAAGGUGGGGAUGACGUCAAGUCAGCAUGGCCUUUAUAUCUUGGGCA